This 260-nucleotide ribosomal RNA is filed under the name uncultured Pediococcus sp. RNAcentral describes it as "partial 16S ribosomal RNA". It matches the Rfam family "Bacterial small subunit ribosomal RNA", at positions 1018 to 1280 of the family's 1533-position model. Lineage: Bacteria; Bacillati; Bacillota; Bacilli; Lactobacillales; Lactobacillaceae. The record is from RNAcentral.
CUUCGGGGACAGAAUGACAGGUGGUGCAUGGUUGUCGUCAGCUCGUGUCGUGAGAUGUUGGGUUAAGUCCCGCAACGAGCGCAACCCUUAUUACUAGUUGCCAGCAUUAAGUUGGGCACUCUAGUGAGACUGCCGGUGACAAACCGGAGGAAGGUGGGGACGACGUCAAAUCAUCAUGCCCCUUAUGACCUGGGCUACACACGUGCUACAAUGGAUGGUACAACGAGUGCGAAACCGCGAGGUUGAGCUAAUCUCUUAAA